UACGGAGGAUGCGAGCGUUAUCCGGAUUUAUUGGGUUUAAAGGGUGCGUAGGCGGUCCGUUAAGUCAGCGGUAAAAUUGCGGGGCUCAACCCCGUCGAGCCGUUGAAACUGGCAGACUUGAGUUGGCGAGAAGUACGCGGAAUGCGCGGUGUAGCGGUGAAAUGCAUAGAUAUCGCGCAGAACUCCGAUUGCGAAGGCAGCGUACCGGCGCCAGACUGACGCUGAGGCACGAAAGCGUGGGGAUCGAACAGGAUUAGAUACCCUGGUAGUCC
RNAcentral lists this ribosomal RNA (272 nucleotides) under uncultured bacterium. Its description in RNAcentral is "partial 16S ribosomal RNA". It matches the Rfam family "Bacterial small subunit ribosomal RNA", at positions 524 to 796 of the family's 1533-position model. The record is from RNAcentral.